UAUUGAGUCACUGAAAAUCUGGUUGAACCACAUACUGGUAAAGCACUCAUGUUUAUAUGCAGGUCUGCUGCAAGCUGGGUGGUUGUCACCAUGGAGGCCUCGUUGCAUGGUGUUAUGAACAUGAGCUAUUGAGUUAAACCUCUGCUCUACUUUCUAAAUCUGUGUUCCAUGAUCUAUUAAACAGAAAUGAAAAGCAUCAGGUGUUUUAUGAAAAUUCAUAGAAUAUAGCAGGAUAAAAGAGAAAUUUUAACAAUUCAACGAAGAAAAUAGAGCAAAAGAGAUAAUGAAAGUGGAAAAGCUCCAGGUCACAGCCCCACCAUCAACUGGAGGGAAAGGAGAUAGUCUACUCUGUGCCAGCAAAGGUUUGCCUGGUAUGUUAAUAAGAGCCCAGAGUCUACAGUCAGACAAUUUGGCUUUCAAUCCCAACUCCGCUUCCUAGCAACAUGCCCUUAGACAGAUUACUUAACUCUCUAAAGCCUGUGUUUACUUACCUCUAUAAAAUAGUAAUGGGACAUAUGAAUAAGGGGGAAACCAGGUAUCACUUGGAGCCACUAAUUAACCCCCUGGUCCCCCUUUAACUUGUUAUCCCCAAAUAUACCCCAGAUAGUAUUAAAACUUGCAUGGCCUUGAAAUUAAAAACAACUUUUCUAA
This is a long non-coding RNA of Hyaena hyaena (striped hyena), 651 nucleotides long. RefSeq lists it as uncharacterized. The record is from RefSeq and is a predicted model, not a curated record. NCBI's taxonomy places the organism in Eukaryota, Metazoa, Chordata, Mammalia, Carnivora, Hyaenidae. The transcript is spliced from 3 exons.